UUUUGUGAGAAUUCUAAAGUCAAUAUUACACAUGACAUUGGUGGUGCGAUAAAGCACUGUAUACCCAUAUAUAACUGUCCACCCGGACAUGAAAUUUUACCAUGCAAAGCUGAAAACACUAAAGACAUCUGUACACCGUGUCCAUCAGGACUUGUCCAGCCUGAUUAUAUACAGUCUAUCGAGGACACGACUCUUACCAAGUGUUUUAAGAAUAAAAAUAUCGAUAAAUGUCGUUCAGAAGAUUUAGAGCCUAGUCGUAAAAACAGCGCAAAAGGUUGUGGUUCUAGCGUAGAGUUUUGUAAGUGUGAUACAGACAAGUGUUACUCUGGCGACCCAUGUGUCUGUACAUAUCGUAAAUGUGGUCUGGGUGAAACUAUGCUUUCAAAUGGAACCUGCCUCAAAUGUCCAGCAGGAACAUGGAAAAAUGAAUCCGGAUGUGGUCCAUGUUUUCUUUCCCAAGCUCCAGUU
This is a long non-coding RNA of Mytilus californianus (California mussel), 468 nucleotides long. RefSeq lists it as uncharacterized. The record is from RefSeq and is a predicted model, not a curated record. The transcript has 4 exons. Lineage: Eukaryota; Metazoa; Mollusca; Bivalvia; Mytilida; Mytilidae.